CCGCGAGGUAGAGCAAAUCUCAAAAAAACAAUCUCAGUUCAGACUGCAGGCUGCAACUCGCCUGCACGAAGUCGGAGUUGCUAGUAAUCGUAGGUCAGCAUACUACGGUGAAUACGUUCCCGGGCCUUGUACACACCGCCCGUCAAACCAUGAGAGUUGGCAACACCCGAAGUCGGUAGUCUAACCGCAAGGAGGACGCCGCCGAAGGUGGGGUUGAUGAUUAGGGUUAAGUCGUAACAAGGUAAC
Molecule: ribosomal RNA, 246 nt
Filed under: uncultured bacterium
Lineage: Bacteria
Description: partial 16S ribosomal RNA
Rfam family: Bacterial small subunit ribosomal RNA
Source: RNAcentral